GACGAACGCUGGCGGCGCGCCUAACACAUGCAAGUCGAACGAGCGAGAGAGAGCUUGCUUUCUCGAGCGAGUGGCGAACGGGUGAGUAACGCGUGAGGAACCUGCCUCAAAGAGGGGGACAACAGUUGGAAACGACUGCUAAUACCGCAUAAGCCCACAGCUCGGCAUCGAGCAGAGGGAAAAGGAGCAAUCCGCUUUGAGAUGGCCUCGCGUCCGAUUAGCUAGUUGGUGAGGUAACGGCCCACCAAGGCAACGAUCGGUAGCCGGACUGAGAGGUUGAACGGCCACAUUGGGACUGAGACACGGCCCAGACUCCUACGGGAGGCAGCAGUGGGGAAUAUUGCACAAUGGGGGAAACCCUGAUGCAGCGACGCCGCGUGGAGGAAGAAGGUCUUCGGAUUGUAAACUCCUGUUGUUGAGGAAGAUAAUGACGGUACUCAACAAGGAAGUGACGGCUAACUACGUGCCAGCAGCCGCGGUAAAACGUAGGUCACAAGCGUUGUCCGGAAUUACUGGGUGUAAAGGGAGCGCAGGCGGGAAGACAAGUUGGAAGUGAAAUCUAUGGGCUCAACCCAUAAACUGCUUUCAAAACUGUUUUUCUUGAGUAGUGCAGAGGUAGGCGGAAUUCCCGGUGUAGCGGUGGAAUGCGUAGAUAUCGGGAGGAACACCAGUGGCGAAGGCGGCCUACUGGGCACCAACUGACGCUGAGGCUCGAAAGUGUGGGUAGCAAACAGGAUUAGAUACCCUGGUAGUCCACACCGUAAACGAUGAUUACUAGGUGUUGGAGGAUUGACCCCUUCAGUGCCGCAGUUAACACAAUAAGUAAUCCACCUGGGGAGUACGACCGCAAGGUUGAAACUCAAAGGAAUUGACGGGGGCCCGCACAAGCAGUGGAGUAUGUGGUUUAAUUCGACGCAACGCGAAGAACCUUACCAAGUCUUGACAUCCUGCGACGCACAUAGAAAUAUGUGUUUCCUUCGGGACGCAGAGACAGGUGGUGCAUGGUUGUCGUCAGCUCGUGUCGUGAGAUGUUGGGUUAAGUCCCGCAACGAGCGCAACCCUUACUGUCAGUUACUACGCAAGAGGACUCUGGCAGGACUGCCGUUGACAAAACGGAGGAAGGUGGGGAUGACGUCAAAUCAUCAUGCCCUUUAUGACUUGGGCUACACACGUACUACAAUGGCGUUAAACAAAGAGAAGCAAGACCGCGAGGUGGAGCAAAACUCAGAAACAACGUCCCAGUUCGGACUGCAGGCUGCAACUCGCCUGCACGAAGUCGGAAUUGCUAGUAAUCGUGGAUCAGCAUGCCACGGUGAAUACGUUCCCGGGCCU
RNAcentral lists this ribosomal RNA (1332 nucleotides) under uncultured bacterium. Its description in RNAcentral is "bacterial SSU rRNA". It matches the Rfam family "Bacterial small subunit ribosomal RNA", at positions 28 to 1381 of the family's 1533-position model. The record is from RNAcentral.